This 406-nucleotide ribosomal RNA is filed under the name uncultured bacterium. Its description in RNAcentral is "partial 16S ribosomal RNA". It matches the Rfam family "Bacterial small subunit ribosomal RNA", at positions 30 to 526 of the family's 1533-position model. The record is from RNAcentral.
AUUGAACGCUGGCGGCAGGCCUAACACAUGCAAGUCGAGCGAGCGGCGGACGGGUGAGUAAUGUCUGGGAAACUGUCUGAUGGAGGGGGAUAACUACUGGAAACGGUAGCUAAUACCGCAUACCAUCUGAUGUUCCCAGAUGGGAUUAGCUCGUAGGUGGGGUAACGGCUCACCUAGGCGACGAUCCCUAUCUGGGCUGAGAGGAUGACCAGCCACAAGGGAACGGAGAAACGGUCCAGACUCCGACGGUAGGCAGCAGUGGGGAAUAUUGCACAAUGGGCGCAAGCCGGAUGCAGCCAUGCCGCGUGUAUGAAGAAGGCCUUAGGGUUGUAAAGUACUUUCAGCGGGGAGGCGUUACCCGCAGAAGAAGCACCGGCUAACUCCGUGCCAGCAGCCGCGGUAAUAC